UGGUAAUCUAUGGUCAGCUACAAGUUCGCCUUUGUUCCACACGACACAGACAAGACACAGAUUUCGCAAACGACACCAUCAUGAAGGUUUUGGUCUACGUCAUCCUAGCUCUGACCGUCUGUUCCUACGCCUUGGCCUGCCAGGGAGGACAUCACGAUGGCUUUCCUGAGGUCGCCAGGGAUGCCGGCCUGGCAAACUCUUAUGGAUCUUACGGUGGUUAUGGUGUCGAUGGCUACGGAGCUCCGGUUUACGGUCUUGGUUAUGGGUACCAUUAAUACGUUCCCCUUUUCCAUAACCCCUCCCAGUCAGCCAUUUCAGAAGUACAACCCAAACUUCCAGCGGAACUACGAAAAACACUAAUUUUAUUGGCAACAGAUUUAAUUCCGCGUCUCAUGGAACACUUGUGAAUUAAUUUGACACACACGACACCUGUUUAGAAAUUUGAAUAGUUUCGUAACUUACGACGAUGUAACCAGACUUGUACGGAUGUCAAUGGCUUCCUUAUAUCCACACAAAGCACCUGUCUCUCCCAAGUUCUUCGCUCAACUUAAUUUUCAUAACUCGUUGGCGUUGUUCUGCCAGAACAAGACGAGUUUCUCGUUCCUUACGGAACAAGUUUUCACCUGGAUGAAAUCUUUAAACGAAAAUUAUGUGCAUUAAAUUUUAAUUAUUUUUAUAUGUGAAACCUUUUUCUUAUAAGUUACUAUUCUGUCAAUAAAAUUAUUCUUAAACGUAAA
Molecule: long non-coding RNA, 737 nt
Organism: Zootermopsis nevadensis
Lineage: Eukaryota; Metazoa; Arthropoda; Insecta; Blattodea; Termopsidae
Source: RefSeq, a predicted model, not a curated record